CGCGCAGCGCGCCUGGACCAGGCUCCGGGAGGAGGAGCCGGGUGGCCCGGGCCCCCAGCCUCGCGCCUGGGGACCACAACACCCCCCUUGAGCCUUGGCCCGGGGCCCUUUUGUCAAGCCCACAACUUCCGCCCGGGAUUCGCCUGAUUCUUUCCUUCUGCUGCUUGCAGAUCCCGUCGGAGACGGUCUCUUCAAGGAAGGGAAGAACCCGAGCUGGGGGCCGCUGAGCCCCGCGGUUCAGAAAGGCAGCGGACAGAUCCAGCUGUGGCAGUUUCUGCUGGAGCUGCUGGCUGACCGCGCGAACGCCGGCUGCAUCGCGUGGGAGGGCGGUCACGGCGAGUUCAAGCUCACGGACCCGGACGAGGUGGCGCGGCGGUGGGGCGAGCGCAAGAGCAAGCCCAACAUGAACUACGACAAGCUGAGCCGCGCCCUGCGCUACUACUACGACAAGAACAUCAUGAGCAAGGUGCAUGGCAAGCGCUACGCCUACCGCUUCGACUUCCAGGGCCUGGCGCAGGCCUGCCAGCCGCCGCCCGCGCACGCC
Molecule: small RNA, 544 nt
Filed under: Pongo abelii (Sumatran orangutan)
Lineage: Eukaryota; Metazoa; Chordata; Mammalia; Primates; Hominidae
Description: retained intron
Source: RNAcentral